RNAcentral lists this ribosomal RNA (463 nucleotides) under uncultured bacterium. RNAcentral describes it as "partial 16S ribosomal RNA". It matches the Rfam family "Bacterial small subunit ribosomal RNA", at positions 28 to 507 of the family's 1533-position model. The record is from RNAcentral.
GACGAACGCUGGCGGCGUGCUUAACACAUGCAAGUCGAACGGUGAACCUCUUCUGAGGCUAUCAGUGGCUAACGGGUGAGUAACACGUGUGCAACCUGCCCCCGGCUCUGGGAUAACUCCAAGAAAUUGGGGCUAAUACCGGAUGUUCACCGCUUCCCGCAUGGGUGGUGGUGGAAAGGGUUUCCGGCUGGAGAUGGGCCCGCGGCCUAUCAGCUUGUUGGUGGGGUAGUGGCCUACCAAGGCGACGACGGGUAGCCGGCCUGAGAGGGUGACCGGCCACAAGGGGACUGAGAAACGGACCAGACGCCUACGGGAGGCAGCAGUGGGGAAUAUGGCGCAAUGGGCGGAAGCCUGACGCAGCGACGCCGCGUGGGGGAUGACGGCCUUCGGGUUGUAAACCGCUGUCAGCAGAGACGAAGCGCAAGUGACGGUACCUGCAGAAGAAGCACCGGCCAACUACGUG